UAGGAGAAAGGCAAAAACAUUAAAGUGCUAGAAAAAUUCGAGCCAGUGAAAUCAAGCAACAUAGCAAAAACAGUGAAAAAACAAUUAAACGGAGAACACGGACAAAUAGUUAUCUCCACAAAUAAAGCCAUAAUGUCCGACAAAAAAGCCGAAGUACUCAAUAUAGGUGGCCAAAUGUUGGCAGUUUUCGAAUCCACGUGCUAAGAAAUGGAAACCCCACCAACCAUGGACGACUGCAUAGCAGAUAACAUGCUAAACCAGGUAAAAGAAGAACUGGAAAACUGGGACGACGAAGAGUACAGCCAGAGAUUGAUCCAGCAACAGGAGCAGCAGCAACAAAACCAACAGCAGAUCAGACAACAAUUACUUCAACGACAGCUACAGCAACUAAGCAACAACUAGAAAACCAGAGUUGCAGCCACGCCAACCAAAACCUCUACGGAAUGGUGAAAAAUAUCUGUCAGAAAUCAAAACAGCAUAUCAUCUCUCACGGAAUAUGCUAACUGCUUCGAAUUGUUCUUUUCUACUGAAAAACAAGACAUGACAACAUAUUACAUUCCAGUUGCACCCCUUCUAACGGCGAAACCCAGGCGGAAGCAUGUACCAAGUUUUUAAACGGAUGAAAAGAAGAAACAUUGGUAGCAAACAAAGGCGAUAACUGAGCAACAAAUGAAUUUGAAUAGAAGAAUCAACAAAAAUGUACGUGCUAUAAAAUUAGUGUUGAAAAUUUAUACUUUAUCCAUAAUCUACAAAAUAUUGAAUAUUCUUCAUGAAGUUUUGAUUUAGUAAUAUAGGACUCGACGGUAGAGAAAUUUCUUGAAUAUGUUAGCGAGAAAUAUGCGGUUGUUUAAGGAUUAAAACACUGAAUACUUGAAGAAGCAUUAUCAGACGUUUGAGGUUGGCGAAAAAUAAAAAAAUGUUUUGUAUUUAAAUUAUGAAUAUAGUUGAUGGGCCAUCAUCCACUGUAUAGAUAAGAGAAAAAAGUAAUGUUUCGUAGAAAGCUAUACCAAUUAAUGAAUAAAUUAUACAUAUUUUGUUAAAA
Wyeomyia smithii (pitcher-plant mosquito) is the source of this 1042-nucleotide long non-coding RNA. RefSeq lists it as uncharacterized. The record is from RefSeq and is a predicted model, not a curated record. Lineage: Eukaryota; Metazoa; Arthropoda; Insecta; Diptera; Culicidae. The transcript is spliced from 3 exons.